AAGACUAUACUUUUAGGGAUUAUUUCUAUAGUUCAUUACAUGAAGAAAUUUGACAAGUUAGGAGAAAUGAACCAACCCCUCAAAAAACAAAACUAUCCCAAGCCACCCAGCAUG
RNAcentral lists this small nucleolar RNA (114 nucleotides) under Ochotona princeps (American pika). RNAcentral describes it as "Small nucleolar RNA U3 (ENSOPRG00000023261.1)". It matches the Rfam family "Small nucleolar RNA U3", at positions 1 to 113 of the family's 219-position model. From Rfam's summary of the family: Small nucleolar RNAs (snoRNAs) are involved in the processing and modification of rRNA in the nucleolus. There are two main classes of snoRNAs: the box C/D class, and the box H/ACA class. The record is from RNAcentral. Lineage: Eukaryota; Metazoa; Chordata; Mammalia; Lagomorpha; Ochotonidae.